This 58-nucleotide small RNA is filed under the name Helianthus annuus (common sunflower). The record is from RNAcentral. Lineage: Eukaryota; Viridiplantae; Streptophyta; Magnoliopsida; Asterales; Asteraceae.
CACGGGUCGAGAGCUAGCGUCGCUCUUCUGAUGAGUCUAAGGCAAGACGAAGCCAGUG